CCCAGACUCCUACGGGAGGCAGCAGUGGGGAAUAUUGCACAAUGGGCGAAAGCCUGAUGCAGCAACGCCGCGUGAGUGAUGAAGGCCUUCGGGUCGUAAAACUCUGUCCUCAAGGAAGAUAAUGACGGUACUUGAGGAGGAAGCCCCGGCUAACUACGUGCCAGCAGCCGCGGUAAUACGUAGGGGGCUAGCGUUAUCCGGAUUUAUUGGGUGUAAAGGGUGCGUAGACGGGAAGGCAAGUUAGUUGUGAAAUCCCUCGGCUUAACUGAGGAACUGCAACUAAAACUAUCUUUCUUGAGUGCUGGAGAGGAAAGUGGAAUUCCUAGUGUAGCGGUGAAAUGCGUAGAUAUUAGGAGGAACACCAGUGGCGAAGGCGACUUUCUGGACAGUAACUGACGUUGAGGCACGAAAGUGUGGGGAGCAAACAGGAUUAGAUACCCGAGUA
RNAcentral lists this ribosomal RNA (445 nucleotides) under uncultured bacterium. RNAcentral's name for it is "bacterial SSU rRNA". It matches the Rfam family "Bacterial small subunit ribosomal RNA", at positions 330 to 792 of the family's 1533-position model. The record is from RNAcentral.